CCUACGGGAGGCAGCAGUGAGGAAUAUUGGUCAAUGGGCGCGAGCCUGAACCAGCCAAGUCGCGUGAGGGAAGACGGUCCUAUGGAUUGUAAACCUCUUUUGUCAGGGAGCAAAAGGCGCCACGCGUGGCGUUCCGAGGGUACCCGGAAGAAAAGCCUCGGCUAACUCCGUGCCCGCAGCCGCGGUAAUACGGGGGAUGCGAGCGUUAUCCGGGUUUAUUGGGUUUAAAGGGUGCGUAGGCGGAAGAUCAAGUCAGCGGUAAAAUUGAGGGGCUCAACCUCUGCGAGCCGUUGAAACUGGUUGUCUUGAGUGAGCGAGAAGUAUGGGGAAUGCGUGGUGUAGCGGUGAAAUGCAUAGAUAUCACGCAGAACUCCGAUUGCGAAGGCAGCAUACCGGCGCUCAACUGACGCUCAUGCACGAAAGCGUGGGUAUCGAACAGGAUUAGAUACCCGAGUAGUC
RNAcentral lists this ribosomal RNA (459 nucleotides) under uncultured bacterium. RNAcentral describes it as "partial 16S ribosomal RNA". It matches the Rfam family "Bacterial small subunit ribosomal RNA", at positions 338 to 795 of the family's 1533-position model. The record is from RNAcentral.